UACGGAGGGGGUUAGCGUUGUUCGGAAUUACUGCGCGUAAAGCGCACGUAGGCGGACUAUUAAGUCAGGGGUGAAAUCCCGGGGCUCAACCCCGGAACUGCCCUUGAUACUGGUAGUCUUGGGUUCGAGAGAGGUGUGUGGAAUUCCGAGUGUGUAGGUGAGAUUCGUAGAUAUUCGGAGGAACACCAGUGGCGAAGGCGGCUCACUGGCUCGAUACUGACGCUGAGGUGCGAAAGCGUGGGGAGCAAACAGG
This 253-nucleotide unclassified non-coding RNA is filed under the name uncultured Rhodobacterales bacterium. RNAcentral describes it as "contains 16S-23S intergenic spacer region". It matches the Rfam family "Bacterial small subunit ribosomal RNA", at positions 524 to 776 of the family's 1533-position model. The record is from RNAcentral. Lineage: Bacteria; Pseudomonadati; Pseudomonadota; Alphaproteobacteria; Rhodobacterales.